AGAUUAAGCCAUGCAUGUCUAAGGAUAAACAAUUUUUUCCGUAAACCUGCGAACGGCUCAUUAAAUCAGUUUAAAUCUACUCUGCUAAUACCUUUAAAUGGAUAACUGCAGUAAUUCUGGAGCUAAUACAUGCUAAAAACCUGAACUCUACGGAACAGGUGUAAUUAUUUGACUUAGAAACCAAUAGUAGCAAUACUCUUAAAAAUGAAUUAAAAUAACUUUAUGAAUCGCAUUAAUUUUUGUGAUGGCACGAAUGAUAUUCUGCCCUAUCAACUUUCGAUGGUAGUAUAGGGGACUACCAUGGUGAUGACGGGUAACGGAGAAUUUGGGUUUGAUUCCGGAGAAAAGGCCUGAGAGACGGCCAUUACUUCCAAGGAAGGCAGCAGGCGCGUAAAUUACCCAAUCCCAAUUUGGGGAGGUAGUGACGAGAAAUACUAGUAUUGGCCCCAAUGGGGACAAUGAUUGGAAUGAAAACAAUGUAAAUACAUUAAUGACUAACAAUUGGAGGGCAAGUCUGGUGAACUUUUUGAACGCUUAAUUUAGGGAUGUUUGUAGUCCAUCUCUGAUGCUGGCGCCAGAAAUAGGGGGGCCCUAAAUACCUCUAGUCGAUGUUUUAAUUUGUUGGGCAAGGGCCCUAUGUCAGGACAAAUAAGAGAAGCUUGGAGAGUCUUUCUCGACCUAAAGGAAACAAGUAAAAUCUGAAGAACGCGGCGACAUGACCUGGAACGAGAGAGGCCUGAUCGAAGACCAUUUUUAGGAAUUUGAUAGAAGGGUUAAUCGCGUGGUGAGUUGCUUAACGAACAACCAUUGUAGAGCGCGGAAAGGUGUGGGUGAUUUUGAUAUGAUGAAUGUAAAAUAAGGAAUUGCUUAAGGAUCGUGCCAAUCCCUGUUGUAAAACAGGCCCAUCUCAUAAGCGCUGACACGUAAGGGGGAAUGGGGACUGAAGGAACAAAAUGUUCGUCUCAGUAUAAAUUAAAUGAAAAUUGAAAAUGUGUAAUUUGGAUGAAUCGAUAGAGGCCAGCAGCCGCGGUAAUUCCAGCUCCAAUAGUGUAUACUAAAGUUGUUGCGUUUAAAAAGCUCGUAGUUGAAUUUCGAAAUUUGAACUUGAAUUGCAAUUUAUUGUAAUAAGAGAUACAUACUUCUUCUUAAGGGGCUUAGGCCUACUUAAAAUUUACUGUGAAAAAAUUAGAGUGUUAAAAGCAAGCAAAUGCUUGAAUAUUUCAGCAUGGGAUAAUAAAAGAUGACAGAAGUCAAUAUUUGUUGGUUUCUUUGGCUAAUGUAAUGAUUAAAAGGGACAGUUGGGGCAACUUGUAUUGGCUCGCUAGGGGUGAAAUCCUAUGAUUGAGUCAAGACAAACUACUGCGAAAGCAUUUUGCAAGGAUGUUUUCAUUAAUCAAGAACGAAAGUUGUAGGAUCGAAGAUGAUUAGAUACCGUCGUAGUUACAACCAUAAACAAUGUCGACUCAGGAUUGAUAGAUAUUAAAUGGAUGAUUCUGUCAGCACUGUGUGAGAAAUCAAAGUAUCCAGACUCCGGGGGGAGUAUGGUCGCAAGACUGAAACUUAAAGGAAUUGACGGAAGGGCACCACCAGGAGUGGAAUCUGCGGCUUAAUUUGACUCAACACGGGGAAACUUACCGGGUCCGGACUCAGCGAGGAUUGACAGAUUGAUAGCUCUUUCUUAAUUUUGAGGAUGGUGGUGCAUGGCCGUUUUUAGUUGGUGGAUUGAUUUGUCUGGUUAAUUCCGAAAACGAACGAGACCUUAACCUAUUAAAUAGUAUCAGUAAACUAGAAUGCAAAUUUGUGAUUUAAAUGAAUAAUCUUCUUAAAGGGACUCUUCAUAUUUUAGUGAAGGGAAGUUUAAGGCAAAAACAGGUCUGUGAUGCCCUUCGAUGUUCCGGGCUGCACGCGCGUUACACUGAAAUGUUCAAUGAGUUUUUAAAUUCCUUGUCUGAAAAGACUGGGCAAACUUACCAAAGCAUUUCGUGAUUGGGAUUGUGCCUUGUAAUUAUUGCACAUAAACAUGGAAUUCCUAGUAGGCGUAAGUCAUCAACUUACAUCGAUUACGUCCCCGCCCUUUGUACACACCGCCCGUCGCUGCUACAGAUCGAAUGAUCCGAUGAGGACUCAGGAUUGGAUUUCUUUUGUUGGCUGAAAGGUUAGCAAUUGGAGUUUGAGAAUUUGUUCAAAUCUUAUUAUUUAGAUGAAGCAGAAGUCGUAAACAAGGUA
RNAcentral lists this ribosomal RNA (2226 nucleotides) under Ptolemeba noxubium. RNAcentral describes it as "SSU rRNA". It matches the Rfam family "Eukaryotic small subunit ribosomal RNA". Lineage: Eukaryota; Tubulinea; Elardia; Euamoebida; Hartmannellidae. The record is from RNAcentral.